RNAcentral lists this unclassified non-coding RNA (354 nucleotides) under soil metagenome. Its description in RNAcentral is "partial contains 5.8S ribosomal RNA, internal transcribed spacer 2, and large subunit ribosomal RNA". The stretch from base 1 to 120 matches the Rfam family "5.8S ribosomal RNA", at positions 35 to 154 of the family's 154-position model. The record is from RNAcentral.
GAUGAAGAACGCAGCGAAAUGCGAUAAGUAAUGUGAAUUGCAGAAUUCAGUGAAUCAUCGAAUCUUUGAACGCACAUUGCGCCCGCCAGUAUUCUGGUGGGCAUGUCUGUUCGAGCGUCAUUUCAACCCUCAGGCCCCCAGUGCCUGGCGUUGGGGAUCGGCGCGGCGCCCUCCGGGGCGCUGCCGGCCCCGAAAUUCAGUGGCGGUCUCGCUGUAGCCCUCCUCCGCGUAGUAGCACAACCUCGCGGCCUGGAGCUCGGCGGUGGCCAUGCCGUAAAACACCCCACUUCUGAAAGUUGACCUCGGAUCAGGUAGGAAUACCCGCUGAACUUAAGCAUAUCAAUAAGCGGAGGA